This 1875-nucleotide long non-coding RNA is filed under the name Numida meleagris (helmeted guineafowl). Its description in RNAcentral is "lncRNA (ENSNMEG00000002537.1)". The record is from RNAcentral. Lineage: Eukaryota; Metazoa; Chordata; Aves; Galliformes; Numididae.
GGGGGGGUUAAUGAGGGUAAUUAGUGUGAUUCUGGUAAUUAGAGCGGUGGGGGUAACGAGGGUAAUUGUGGUAGUGGGGAUAAUUACAGUAGCGGAGAUAAUUACGGUAGCGGCGGUAAUUAGGGUAACUGGGGUGAUGCUGGUAAUGGGGGUGAUGAAGGCAACUGGGGUGAUUACCGCAAUUAGGACUAAUUGUGCUAAUUGAGGUAAUUAAGGUAACGGGGCUGAUGAUGGCUGUGUGGGUCCCAAUGGGAUCUAUGGGGCUGUGUGGGAUCUAUGGGGCUGUGUGGGUUCUAUGGGGCUGUGUGGGAUCUAUGGGGCUCUAUGGGGCCGAAUGGGAUCUGUGGGUCUCAGUGGGAUCUGUGGGUCUCAGUGGGAUCUAUGGGGCUCAGUGGGAUAUGUGGGGCUCUGUGGGUCCCAGUGGGGCUCUGUGGGUCCCAAUGGGAUCAGUGGGGCUCUGUGGGUCCCAAUGGGAUCAGUGGGGCUCUGUGGGUCCCAGUGGGAUCAGUGGGGCUCUGUGGGUCCCAGUGGGGUCAGUGGGGCUCUAUGAGUCCCAAUGGGGCUCUAUGGGUCCCAAUGGGAUCGGUGGGGCUCUGUGGGUCCGAAUGGGAUCAGUGGGGCUCAGUGGGUCUCAGUGGGGCUCUGUGGGGCUCUAUGGGUCCCAAUGGGAUCAGUGGGGCUCUGUGGGUCCCAAUGGGCUCAGUGGGGCUCUGUGGGUCCCCGUGGGGCUCUAUGGGUCCCAAUGGGAUCAGAGGGGCUCUAUGGGUCCCAGUGGGAUCAGUGGGGCUCUGUGGGGCUCUAUGGGUCCCAGUGGGGCUCUGUGGGUCCGAAUGGGAUCAGUGGGGCUCAGUGGGGCUCUAUGGGUCCCGGUGGGGCUCGGUGGGGCUCCGUGGGUCCCCGAGGGCUCCGUGGGUCGCGCUGUGGGGCUGAGGCUGUGGGGCUCCCCCCAGGACUCCUACACGUUGCUGUUCGAUGGGGUCCCGGCGUCGCUGCUCGGGGGGGGGCUGCGCGGCGACCCCCAAGUGCUGGGGGCGUUCUGCGGGGGAGGCCCCUCCCAGCCCCACACCUUGGUGGCGCGCUCAGGUGAGGGGCGGCGCGGCGCUAUGGGGCGCUAUGGGGUGAUAUGGGGUGAUGUGGGUCUCUCUAUGGGUCUCUCUAUGGGUCUCUAUGGGUCUCUCUAUGGGUCUCUGUGGGUCUCUAUGGAUCUCUCUAUGGGUCUCUGUGGGUCUCUAUGGGGUCUCUAUGGGGUCUCUAUGGGUCUCUAUGCGUCUCUGUGGGGUCUCUAUGGGUCUCUAUGGGUCUCUAUGCGUCUCUGUGGGUCUCUCUAUGGGUCUCUAUGGGUCUCUCUGUGGGGUCUCUCUAUUGAUCUCUCUAUGGGUCUCUCUAUGGGUCUCUAUGUGGGUCUCUAUGGGUCUCUAUGUGGGUCUCUAUGGGUCUCUAUGGGUCUCUAUGGGUCUCUCUAUGGGUCUCUCUAUGGGUCUCUAUGGGUCUCUCUGUGGGGCUCUCUGUGGGUCUCUCUGGGUCUCUGUGGGUCUCUCUGUGGGUCUCUAUGGGUCUCUAUGGGUCACUCUAUGGGUCUCUCUAUGGGUCUCUAUGGGUCUCUAUGGGUCUCUCUGUGGGGCUCUCUGUGGGUCUCUCUGGGUCUCUCUGGGUCUCUAUGGGGUCUCUAUGGGUCUCUAUGCGUCUCUAUGCGUCUCUGUGGGUCUCUCUAUGGGUCUCUCUGGGCCCUUAUGUGUCCCUACUAUGGGUCUGGGACCCCCAAGUGUGGGGCUGGGCACCUAAGCGAGGGACUAGCUCCCCAAGUGUGGGUCAGGGACCCACAAGUGUGGGUCUCAGACCCCUGUCUCUGUGUCCGAGGCCACCACUGUAGCUCCA